Molecule: transfer RNA, 87 nt
Filed under: Sphingopyxis sp.
Lineage: Bacteria; Pseudomonadati; Pseudomonadota; Alphaproteobacteria; Sphingomonadales; Sphingopyxidaceae
Also listed under: 4 other names
Description: tRNA-Tyr
Rfam family: tRNA
About the family: Transfer RNA (tRNA) molecules are approximately 80 nucleotides in length. Their secondary structure includes four short double-helical elements and three loops (D, anti-codon, and T loops). Further hydrogen bonds mediate the characteristic L-shaped molecular structure. tRNAs have two regions of fundamental functional importance: the anti-codon, which is responsible for specific mRNA codon recognition, and the 3' end, to which the tRNAs corresponding amino acid is attached (by aminoacyl-tRNA synthetases). tRNAs cope with the degeneracy of the genetic code in two manners: having more than one tRNA (with a specific anti-codon) for a particular amino acid; and 'wobble' base-pairing, i.e. permitting non-standard base-pairing at the 3rd anti-codon position.
Source: RNAcentral
GGACAGGUGGCCGAGUGGUUAAAGGCAGCAGACUGUAAAUCUGCCCGACGUUGUCGUACGCUGGUUCGAAUCCAGCCCUGUCCACCA